AUAAAGUUUGAAUAACACCUUUUCCAUAAGUUUUAACACCAAUGAUAGUAGCUUUAUCAUAAUCCUUUAAAGCUCCUGCUAAUAUUUCUGAAGCACUAGCAGAGUUUUCAUUUACUAAUACAACAAUUGGAACAUCUAUUAUUGGAUCUUCUUUUGAUUUUAUUUCUGUUUCUUCUCCAUCUUUGUUUGUCUCAAUUAAUAGUGUACUAUCUUUAUCGCAUAUCAUUUCUAAAAUAUCAAUUGCUUCGUCUACUACACCACCACCAUUAUUACGA
This 275-nucleotide non-coding RNA is filed under the name chicken gut metagenome. The record is from RNAcentral.